This 261-nucleotide ribosomal RNA is filed under the name uncultured bacterium. RNAcentral describes it as "partial 16S ribosomal RNA". It matches the Rfam family "Bacterial small subunit ribosomal RNA", at positions 332 to 609 of the family's 1533-position model. The record is from RNAcentral.
CUUACCUACGGGACGCAGCAGUGGGGAAUAUUGGGCAAUGGGCGCAAGCCUGACCCAGCAACGCCGCGUGAAGGAAGAAGGCUUUCGGGUUGUAAACUUCUUUUCUGAGGGACGAAGGAAGUGACGGUACCUCAGGAAUAAGCCACGGCUAACUACGUGCCAGCAGCCGCGGUAAUACGUAGGUGGCAAGCGUUAUCCGGAUUUAUUGGGUGUAAAGGGCGUGUAGGCGGGAAUGCAAGUCAGAUGUGAAAACUAUGGGCU